This is a non-coding RNA of Ixodes scapularis (black-legged tick), 95 nucleotides long. The record is from Rfam. Lineage: Eukaryota; Metazoa; Arthropoda; Arachnida; Ixodida; Ixodidae.
UUUUGGGAGGAUUGAUAGAUUGAGAGCACUUUCUUGAUUCGGUGGAUGGUGGUGCAUGUCCGUUCUUAGUUGGUGGAGUGACUUGUCUGGUAAAU